This is a long non-coding RNA of Cryptomeria japonica (Japanese cedar), 682 nucleotides long. RefSeq lists it as uncharacterized. The transcript has 4 exons. NCBI's taxonomy places the organism in Eukaryota, Viridiplantae, Streptophyta, Pinopsida, Cupressales, Cupressaceae. The record is from RefSeq and is a predicted model, not a curated record.
GUCAAGUUGUGAAGAAAUACUUGUGAAAAUCGUUACACUCUGAUUCACCCCCCCCUCUCAGAGUGUCUCCACUUCCAACAAAAAUUGAAUUCGAUUUAUUCGCAUUAAUCACUAUGUUUGCAACUUCUUUUGGGUUUAUGGCAGUAAGUGGUAAAUUUCUUUGGUUUAUUUUCAUUUGGCAAAUCAAAGGAGAAAACGACGGAAGCUCUGGAGAUUUGGUUGAAAUUUGUUUCUUGUUUGGUGAUCUCAUUUGCAGUUUCAGGUUGCUUUUGUUUGCAGUAAACCUGUUUAGCGAGAGGUCUCAAAAAUCAAGGGUAGAGUCUUGGAUGCGAGGAGAACACUCUUUCGCGUUUGCAGCUGCAUUCUUUCACUCCUGAUUUGCGUCAAAGUUGGUUGUACAGGUUUUUGGCUCAUGGGAUUUGGCACAGGGCUUUGGAAAAUUUUGUCUUCUUCCAUUGGUAGCAGCUGUGAAGUCUACAUUUGAAAAUUAUCCGAUGGGUUUUUUUGGCAAAUUGUCAUAUGGGCUCUAUGCAAAACUGAUAUUAUAUGUGUUGUGACCGCAUUUUAUAUGUGGUUUUGGGCAGGGUGCAUAAACUGAUCUAUCAGAUACUAUAGGUUUAUUUUAUGAGUUGUGACCAGAGGUUUUCUUCCCAGGGUUCUUUCCUCUAGUAUGCUCUUUGAA